RNAcentral lists this ribosomal RNA (253 nucleotides) under uncultured bacterium. Its description in RNAcentral is "partial 16S ribosomal RNA". It matches the Rfam family "Bacterial small subunit ribosomal RNA", at positions 524 to 776 of the family's 1533-position model. The record is from RNAcentral.
UACGUAGGCAGCAAGCGUUUUUCGGAUUUACUGGGCGUAAAGGGUGCGUAGGCGGCUUUUUAAGUUUGGUGUGAAAUCUCCCGGCUCAACUGGGAGGGUGCGCCGAAUACUGAGAGGCUAGAGUGCGGGAGAGGAAAGUGGAAUUCCUGGUGUAGCGGUGAAAUGCGUAGAUAUCAGGAGGAACACCGGUGGUGUAAACGGCUUUCUGGACCGUAACUGACGCUGAUGCACGAAAGCGUGGGUAGCAAACAGG